GGUUCCAUAGUGGAGCGGUGAGCUCAUCUGCUUUACACGCAGAAGGUCCUGGGUUUGCGCCCCAGCAGAGCCA
This 73-nucleotide transfer RNA is filed under the name Pteropus alecto (black flying fox). It matches the Rfam family "tRNA". From Rfam's summary of the family: Transfer RNA (tRNA) molecules are approximately 80 nucleotides in length. Their secondary structure includes four short double-helical elements and three loops (D, anti-codon, and T loops). Further hydrogen bonds mediate the characteristic L-shaped molecular structure. tRNAs have two regions of fundamental functional importance: the anti-codon, which is responsible for specific mRNA codon recognition, and the 3' end, to which the tRNAs corresponding amino acid is attached (by aminoacyl-tRNA synthetases). tRNAs cope with the degeneracy of the genetic code in two manners: having more than one tRNA (with a specific anti-codon) for a particular amino acid; and 'wobble' base-pairing, i.e. permitting non-standard base-pairing at the 3rd anti-codon position. The record is from Rfam by way of RNAcentral. Lineage: Eukaryota; Metazoa; Chordata; Mammalia; Chiroptera; Pteropodidae.